GACGAACGCUGGCGGCGUGGAUUAGGCAUGCAAGUCGAACGGUAUCAUCCUUUCGGGGGUGAGAGAGUGGCGAACUGGUGAGUAACACGUAGGUUAUCUACCCUCAAGACGGGGACAACCCAGGGAAACUUGGGCUAAUACCGGAUGUGAGCAACUUUUAGUUGUUUGAAAGGUGGCGUAAGCUGUCGCUUGGGGAUGAGCCUGCGUCCUAUUAGUUAGUUGGUGAGGUAACGGCUCACCUAGGCAAUGAUAGGUAGGCGGCCUUAACGGGUGGUCGCCCACACUGGGAUUGAGAUACGGCCCAGACUCCUACGGGAGGCAGCAGUCGAGAAUAGUCUACAAUGGUCGGAAGACUGAUAGUGCGACGCCGCGUGAACGAUGAAUCCCUUCGGGGUGUAAAGUUCUUUUAUAUGUGAGCAGUGCUUUCUUAUAUUAACAGUAUGGGGAAGAGAUAUUAGCAUAUGAAUAAGCAACGGCUAACUCCGUGCCCAGCAGCCCGCGGUAAGA
RNAcentral lists this ribosomal RNA (507 nucleotides) under uncultured bacterium. RNAcentral's name for it is "bacterial SSU rRNA". It matches the Rfam family "Bacterial small subunit ribosomal RNA", at positions 28 to 525 of the family's 1533-position model. The record is from RNAcentral.